Molecule: non-coding RNA, 920 nt
Organism: Zootermopsis nevadensis
Lineage: Eukaryota; Metazoa; Arthropoda; Insecta; Blattodea; Termopsidae
Source: RefSeq, a predicted model, not a curated record
GAACCUUCGAGUUCCCUAAGCCAGGUAGUUAGUUAGUGAUGGACGGAAAACACAGAUGAAUAUGUACGUCCAUCGGAAUCCAUGCAGGGUCACAGACUUCUUCCUCAUGUAAAUUAUUGGCCUUGGAAAUCCACUUGUACCAGGGCCGUAACUGAAACAUGACGUUAGAAGUUUCUUCUCCAAUCACCAUAUUCGUGUUUGUAGCGGGAACCGGAAAACCCUGCUCACGUUACGAAAUAUAAAUUAAAGAAUGCUGGAGCUGCAGGUAUCAUACGAACUGGAGAUUUGUGCGCAUAUUUUAACCUUAAAGUGUACGUGUAAGGAAAAUCCGUGUGUGUACACAGGCCUUGAGAGGCUUUAAGUGGAAGUUUCAGAUAGUUUUGAACUUUCCAAGGUCAGAUACUUGGAGAAACUAAGUGGCAGCACCUGUUCGUCACUCGUUUCCUUAAAGUGAACUACAUCGAUACAUUUUAACCUUAUAAAACUGACGAAAGGAUAAUUGGAUUCCACAAAUAUUCGACUUUGAACUUCUGGACUUGGAUGAACGACGUAAUUACAUCCAAGGACAGCCAAAUGGCCUCUGAUGAGCAGUCCGCUCCCAACGUUAGCAAUAUGUCUGACCUAUGUCUAUCUCGUAAAAGUUUUGGGUCCUAGAAUAAUGGAGAAUAAGAAACCUAUGGAACUGAGGAAUGUGCUGAUUUAUUACAAUUUUUUUCAAGUUUUAUUCAGCUUAUGGCUUUUUUGUGAGGUGAGCAACGUCACACUUGAAGUUUUCUGUGCCUUCUCUCGUCUUACUCAUGUUUAAAAGGUGUUACCAUCUUAUGUACGCGAUUAACUUUCAGACAUUCUUAAUUUUGUGUAAUGAAAUAUUAUGUCAGCGCUCUCACGACUUUUUAUAAAGCAGAAUAGAAAUGCACCUA